AUGGCGACCGGCGCACGGGUGAGUAACGCGUAUGCAACUUACCUAUCAGAGGGGGAUAGCCCGGCGAAAGUCGGAUUAAUACCCCAUAAACAGGGGUCCCGCAUGGGAAUAUUUGUUAAAGAUUCAUCGCUGAUAGAUAGGCAUGCGUUCCAUUAGGCAGUUGGCGGGGUAACGGCCCACCAAACCGACGAUGGAUAGGGGUUCUGAGAGGAAGGUCCCCCACAUUGGUACUGAGACACGGACCAA
RNAcentral lists this ribosomal RNA (246 nucleotides) under uncultured bacterium. RNAcentral's name for it is "partial 16S ribosomal RNA". It matches the Rfam family "Bacterial small subunit ribosomal RNA", at positions 88 to 334 of the family's 1533-position model. The record is from RNAcentral.